UACGGGGGGGGCAAGCGUUGUUCGGAAUUACUGGGCGUAAAGGGCCCGUAGGCGGCCAACUAAGUCACACGUGAAAUCCCCAGGCUUAACCUGGGAACUGCGUGUGAUACUGGAUGGCUUGAAUUCGGGAGAGGGAUGCAGAAUUCCAGGUGUAGCGGUGAAAUGCGUAGAUAUCUGGAGGAACACCGGUGGCGAAGGCGGCAUCCUGGACCAACACUGACGCUGAGGAGCGAAAGCCAGGGGAGCAAACGGG
RNAcentral lists this ribosomal RNA (253 nucleotides) under uncultured bacterium. Its description in RNAcentral is "partial 16S ribosomal RNA". It matches the Rfam family "Bacterial small subunit ribosomal RNA", at positions 524 to 776 of the family's 1533-position model. The record is from RNAcentral.